Molecule: long non-coding RNA, 1000 nt
Filed under: Olea europaea subsp. europaea
Lineage: Eukaryota; Viridiplantae; Streptophyta; Magnoliopsida; Lamiales; Oleaceae
Source: RNAcentral
CAGCAUAUGUGAUUCACAAGUUCAUUACAUAGUGCCUAGUCUUACAUUGUCUACUAUCCAGAUGCAAUAUUAAAGAGAUGAUGGACAAAACAUAGGGAUUUAUUAACAGGUCAAUUAGGCAAUAUUAGUCAUCUAUUUUUGUCUUACAAACCACAGUGAAAUACAGAUUAGACAUACAUAAAACCAAUAUAUUGUUAUACUAAUUGAAAUUCACAUCGUACUAGUGUUUCAACGAAAGACACGACUCCAAUCACCUCCUCAAUCUGACCUCUUUCCUUUCUCAUCACAGUUGACAAUUCCUUUUCCCUUGCUAAAAGUCAUGUGCAAUGAUAUGUCGGUGCCUCAUUUCUCGCUAAUUCUAGCUAGCCAUCAAAGAGUCUUGGCAAUUCUUCAUCUUCCUUGUCGCUCCUAAUUGACCGCAUGAUUAAUGAAACUCGGUUUCCUGCCUAAAGCUUCAUCGUUCACCUAAUCAAAGUACCCACAGUCAUUACUACAGGUAAAGGACAAUCGCCCUUUGUUACCGGUAUCCCGUUCGACCUCAAAACGUUUUCGAUAUCCGUGGUCACAACUAGGGAAUCGACGUUUUAAUUGGCAUUGUCCGAAGUAGUGCAUGUUACUUUUGCAACCAUAAUUGACUCCAAAAUUUAUUCCUCUCAAUCUAGCCGAUUGCUGUAAAUGAAACAAACUCAUUAAAAAGAUAGACUUAAAGAUGUAGUUAAAUGAUUGAUUAUACAUACAUAAGAUUGAAAAUAUGAUAAAAUAAAAGUUCAUCUUCCAUCGUACAUGCGUGAAAUUCCCUUGCAAAUGCUAGGAGGCUUUUUUUUUUUUUUUUUUUUUUACCCACAAACUCAAGGCUUCAUUUCCUUUGCCAAGUGAGAACAUGUUUAUAAACAUAGCAUACAUGAAUUUACUAGCUUACUAUGUGUGCAAAAGUAACUAUUUUACUUUUUUUUUUUCCUACUAUACAACCUUGUAUUCAAUCUCAAAACUGGUGCAGGAC